This 1164-nucleotide ribosomal RNA is filed under the name Leptolyngbya sp. CXA018.3. RNAcentral's name for it is "bacterial SSU rRNA". It matches the Rfam family "Bacterial small subunit ribosomal RNA", at positions 356 to 1531 of the family's 1533-position model. Lineage: Bacteria; Bacillati; Cyanobacteriota; Cyanophyceae; Leptolyngbyales; Leptolyngbyaceae. The record is from RNAcentral.
GGGGAAUUUUCCGCAAUGGGCGAAAGCCUGACGGAGCAAUACCGCGUGAGGGAGGAAGGCUCUUGGGUUGUAAACCUCUUUUCUCAGGGAAUAAGCAAGUGAAGGUACCUGAGGAAUCAGCAUCGGCUAACUCCGUGCCAGCAGCCGCGGUAAUACGGAGGAUGCAAGCGUUAUCCGGAAUGAUUGGGCGUAAAGCGUCCGUAGGUAGCAGUGUGUGUCUAUUGUUAAAGAGUUUGGCUUAACCAAAUAAAGGCGGUAGAAACUACACAGCUAGAGUGCGUUCGGGGCAGAGGGAAUUCCUGGUGUAGCGGUGAAAUGCGUAGAGAUCAGGGAGAACACCGGUGGCGAAAGCGCUCUGCUAGGCCGCAACUGACACUGAGGGACGAAAGCUAGGGGAGCGAAUGGGAUUAGAUACCCCAGUAGUCCUAGCCGUAAACGAUGGAUACUAGGCGUUGAGAGUAUCGACCCUCUCAGUGCCGUAGCUAACGCGUUAAGUAUCCCGCCUGGGGAGUACGCACGCAAGUGUGAAACUCAAAGGAAUUGACGGGGGCCCGCACAAGCGGUGGAGUAUGUGGUUUAAUUCGAUGCAACGCGAAGAACCUUACCAGGGCUUGACAUGUCUGGAAUCUUGGGGAAACUCAAGAGUGCCUUCGGGAGCCAGAACACAGGUGGUGCAUGGCUGUCGUCAGCUCGUGUCGUGAGAUGUUGGGUUAAGUCCCGCAACGAGCGCAACCCUCGUACUUAGUUGCCAGCACUUCGGGUGGGCACUCUAAGGAGACUGCCGGUGACAAACCGGAGGAAGGUGGGGAUGACGUCAAGUCAGCAUGCCCCUUACGUCCUGGGCUACACACGUACUACAAUGCUACGGACAAAGGGCAGCGAGACUGCGAAGUUAAGCAAAUCUCAGAAACCGUAGCUCAGUUCAGAUCGCAGGCUGCAACUCGCCUGCGUGAAGGAGGAAUCGCUAGUAAUUGCAGGUCAGCAUACUGCAGUGAAUUCGUUCCCGGGCCUUGUACACACCGCCCGUCACACCAUGGAAGCUGGUCACGCCCGAAGUCGUUACCCUAACCAUUAUUUGGAGGGGGACGCCGAAGGUAGGACUGGUGACUGGGGUGAAGUCGUAACAAGGUAGCCGUACCGGAAGGUGUGGCUGGAUCACCUCCU